AGGGGACGGCCAAAUGGGUCGGUGAGAAAGCGGGGAUCACUCCCGCGGCUUCCCGCGGACGUCUCCAUAUCGGUCGGGCUGCAGCGCGAAGAGAAGCCGAUGCCCAGGGCCUCAGAAAGAAGCAAUGUUUCAGAGAUGUUACCAUGGAAACAAUGGAGUGAGGAAGCAGCUAAACAUAAAAGUAAGUCAUCUAUCAGUAAAACCAGAGACAUGCUUUAGGGUAACUUGAAAUUAUAAAAUAGAUAAUUAAUUGAGCUGUUGCUGAGCAUCUGUUUGUCCAUAUUGCUUUCUUCUAAGUCACAACAGGCCACCUUUUUGCAUAUGACAAGAAAAUAAAACUUCCCUGUACAAAGUUUUCAGUAGCUGAAGUCCUUUCUGACACAAGAGAUAGUACCACCCUUUGGAGAUGAGCACUGGAGUUACUUAUCAGCGAGGUCAGGCAAUUGAAAUGGUAUUGUUAAGGGUCAGCAACACCAGCUUCCUCAAACAAAUCAAAACUCUCUUCUGAUAGCAUUGUGAGCAUUGGAGAGUUGUGAUACAAGAUACUUGCAAAGUUUAAUCAGACUAUGGGAAAAAGAAGAUUAGCUUUACUGGAAGUGAAAAUGCAGCUUGAUAUGUCAAGCUCCUUCCAAUUAUGCAAAUGAAUACACAGAGCCAUUCUGCUCAGAAGUGGGUAUUAAAUUAUACUUGUGGAUAAAUAUGAAAGCAUACCUUUGUCCAUCUGUCACUAUAUAUCCUGAAACACCAUAAUUACCUCUCUCA
This 762-nucleotide long non-coding RNA is filed under the name Corvus moneduloides (New Caledonian crow). RNAcentral's name for it is "lncRNA (ENSCMUG00000018237.1)". Lineage: Eukaryota; Metazoa; Chordata; Aves; Passeriformes; Corvidae. The record is from RNAcentral.